Molecule: long non-coding RNA, 436 nt
Filed under: Elaeis guineensis (African oil palm)
Lineage: Eukaryota; Viridiplantae; Streptophyta; Magnoliopsida; Arecales; Arecaceae
Description: long non-coding RNA (EGUI_LNC029804)
Source: RNAcentral
CUAUAUAUGGAUAUCCAAGAACUAUUCGGUGUAUAACUGAUGUGAGAUUGAACAAACUGAUCCACACGGAUCCUUAACAUCUACUCAUCACGUUGAGAUGGUAAGAGCCAAUAGUGGUGGUGGUGGUUUCGUCCGGCCGGGGUCAUGCAGGCUGCCGAUGGAAAGAGAAGGACACAGGGUGAAUCCAAACCUAUCGCCAUCGUUCACAUGGCAAUGGUCGGCAGCCAGCGAAUAGAAUAGUGUCUACGGUGCCGGGUUUGCUUAAAAGAAUAAUUUUAGCUCGCUACGACAUCAGCUCUCUCUCCUCUGGUGUUCUUCCAGUGGACGAGAAGCACCCUUCACCGGUCAUUCCCGGCACAGAAAGUGGACUUCAACGAAAGUGAAAGCCUACGACAUUGUGCUGAUUCGAGGCGGCUGCUGGUGCCGGUCACAUGGA